RNAcentral lists this ribosomal RNA (251 nucleotides) under uncultured prokaryote. Its description in RNAcentral is "partial 16S rRNA". It matches the Rfam family "Bacterial small subunit ribosomal RNA", at positions 525 to 775 of the family's 1533-position model. The record is from RNAcentral.
ACGGAGGAUCCGGGCGUUAUCCGGAAUUACUGGGUUUAAAGGGUGCGUAGGCGGGGCUUUAAGCCGGCGGGGAAAAGCAGCGGCUCAACCGCUGGGAUACCGUUGGGACUGGGGAUCUUGGAUACGGUCGGGGCGGGUGGAACUCGUGGUGUAGCGGUGAAAUGCAUAGAUAUCCCGAGGAACGCCGGUAGCGAAGGCAGCUCCCCGGGCCGGUAUUGACGCUGAUGCACGAAAGCGUGGGGAUCGAACAG